RNAcentral lists this ribosomal RNA (491 nucleotides) under Sander lucioperca (pikeperch). RNAcentral describes it as "partial 16S ribosomal RNA". It matches the Rfam family "Bacterial large subunit ribosomal RNA", at positions 1921 to 2565 of the family's 2925-position model. The record is from RNAcentral. Lineage: Eukaryota; Metazoa; Chordata; Actinopteri; Perciformes; Percidae.
AGUUUAACGGCCGCGGUAUUUUGACCGUGCGAAGGUAGCGCAAUCACUUGUCUUUUAAAUGGAGACCUGUAUGAAUGGCAUAACGAGGGCUUAACUGUCUCCUCUUUCCAGUCAAUGAAAUUGAUCUUCCCGUGCAGAAGCGGGAAUAAUAACAUAAGACGAGAAGACCCUAUGAAGCUUUAGACACCAAGACAGAUCAUGUUAAACACUCCUUAAUAAAGGACUAAACCAAAUGAACCCUGCCCUAAUGUCUUUGGUUGGGGCGACCGCGGGGAAACAAAAAACCCCCACGUGGAAUGGGAGCACCCCUCCUACAACUAAGAGCCGCAGCUCUAGUUAACAGAACUUCUGACCAGUAAGAUCCGGCAAUGCCGAUCAACGAACCGAGUUACUCUAGGGAUAACAGCGCAAUCCCCUUUUAGAGCCCAUAUCGACAAGGGGGUUUACGACCUCGAUGUUGGAUCAGGACAUCCUAAUGGUGCAGCCGCUAU